This 228-nucleotide unclassified non-coding RNA is filed under the name Hevea brasiliensis (rubber tree). The record is from RNAcentral. Lineage: Eukaryota; Viridiplantae; Streptophyta; Magnoliopsida; Malpighiales; Euphorbiaceae.
AGCUUCGCUGCGAGACUGACUGGCAACCUCAGCCCUGACGCCCGCGAGGAGGAGGACAAAACCCGCAAGCGAAUGUUCGUGCUGCAAUACGUUCAACCGGGUCUUGCCGGAUUGAUGGACGGCUCGGUGUCGACGCUUGCGCCGCUCUUCGCCGCGGCAUUCGCGACGCACAAUAACUGGCAGACAUUCCUGGUCGGUCUCGCGGCCUCGAUCGGCGCUGGCAUCAGC